Molecule: long non-coding RNA, 592 nt
Filed under: Gossypium raimondii (Peruvian cotton)
Lineage: Eukaryota; Viridiplantae; Streptophyta; Magnoliopsida; Malvales; Malvaceae
Description: long non-coding RNA (GRAI_LNC009526)
Source: RNAcentral
GCCAUUUUUUCUUCAUGUCAUUGAGCACCUAAAUCUGUAUUUUUGUUCCCAAAUGAUGGGUCAUUAGUCUCUUUAUCCAUCGUUGACAAAUAAGACAUUUAGAGUUUUUUUUCUCAAAAAAAAAUUAAAUACACCAUAAGUUUCUAUCCUCUUUAUAAAUUUAAAAUUUAGUGGCUCAAAUUCGUCCGGCCCAGACCCAAACAAAACAAAACUAAAAAAUAAAAAAUAAUAUUAAUCUCAAAUUCCACUUACAAAAAACAAAUUGGCCCAAAUAACAAGCUCAAACCAAAACUACCCUAACCCAAACCUGCAAAACCCAAUAACCCAGCAGCCCAAAAGCUCAAAACCUAAAAAAUUUCAGAAACCCUAGCUCCCUCUCUCACCGCAGCCUCGUCACGUCAGCAGACGUGCCGUCUAACACCUCCUCCGCCACCACUGCCAUUGACUUUGUCACCACCACCUACAAAAAAAGAAAAGAAGACAAAAAAAAUAGAGGACAAGAAGUAAAAGCAGGGAAACAGCAAAAAAAAAAAGAAAGAAAAAAAAUAAAAAAUCUAUAUUCAACUAGAAAAGCCAAACAAAAACACUAUAU